Molecule: long non-coding RNA, 7375 nt
Filed under: Equus caballus (horse)
Lineage: Eukaryota; Metazoa; Chordata; Mammalia; Perissodactyla; Equidae
Description: lncRNA (ENSECAG00000060035.1)
Source: RNAcentral
UAAAAAGUCAUUAAAAUGGUCUCAGUGCAGGUGGGGUCUGGUUAUCGGGUGGUUGUAUAACUUUAGAUAUGAAUCGGGUCAUAUAGAUCGGCAUGUAGGCCAGAAAGCCUUGGGCUUCUCUCCCUGGGGCAGCGUUGAUCCACAUCAAUUAUGGUGAGCAAGUCCCACUCCAGGAUGUAAUUAUUAAGCAAGUUGAUUUUUGUUUCCCUGUGUUUUGUGGAGCUAAUUAGUCUCUAGCUCCUCGAUGACCAUGACUUUUAUGGUCACCUUCAGGUAAUAAAAGGUCUUCUAAUCAGUAAUUAAUACUUUUAAUUCAGAGUAAGAACCAAAACUUUCAACUUCCUUCAAGGUUAUAGCUGCACCGCUUUCCCGGCUGCUGUCGCCAGUUACGUGCAGUGGGAGGGAGGGGAGGAGCUGAUUUCUUAGUUUUUCUCCAACUUAUGCUUUCACCCAUCAGUUCCUCUCCCCCACACUCUGAUUUCUUACCUCUGUGAGGUUAGAGGAGAGAAGAGAGGAAAAGGAAAGGAAUGUUCCAGGCUUGUCUUUUUAUUUUUUUAAAUUAUUUUAUUGAUGUAUAUUAUUAUAUAUGAGUUUCUGUAUAGACUGCAUUAUACUGACCUCCAAUAAUCUAGAUUUUAUCUGUCACCAUACAUGUGUGCCCCAUUACCCCUUUCGCCCUCCACUCACCCCCUUUCUCUCUGGUAAUCACAGUUCUGUUCUUAUCCAUGUGUUUGUUUAUCUUCCACAUACGAGUGAAAACAUGGUGUUUAUCUUUGUCUGGCUUAUUUCACUUAGCAUAAUACCAUCAAAGUCCAUCCAUGUUGUCACAAGUGGCAUGAUUUUGUCUUUUUCAAUGGCUGAGUGGUAUUCCAUUCUAUAUAUGUAUACUAAAUCUUCUUUAUCCAUACAUCUGUUGAUGGGCACUUGGGUUGCUUCCAUGUCUCGGCUAUUGUGAAUAAUGCUGCAAUGAACAUAGGAAUGCAUAAAUGUCUUUGAAUUGCUGAUUUCAUGUUCUUUGGAUAAAUACUCAGUAGUGGGAUGGCUGGAUCAUAUGGUAUUUCUACUUUUACUUUUUUGAGAACUCUCCAUACUGUUUUCCAUAAUGGCUGUACCAGUUUGCAUUCCCACCAGCAGUGCAUGAGGGUUCCCUUUUCUCUGCAUUCCAACAUUUGUUAUUUUUUGUCUUGUUAAUUAUAGUCAUUCUGAUGGGUGUAAGGUGAUAUCUCAUUGUCAUUUUGUUUUGCAUUUCCCUAAUAAUUAGUAUGUUGAACAUCUUUUCAUGUGCCUAUUGGCCAUCUGUGUAUCUUCUCUGGAAAAAUGUCUUCUUCAUAUCCUCUGCCCAUUUUUUGAUCAGUUGUCUGUUUUUUUGUUGUUGAGUUGUUUGAGUUCUUUAUAUAUUUUGGAGAUUAACCCCUUGUCAGAUAUAUGAUUUGCAAAUAUUUUCUCCCGGUUAGUGGGUUGUCUUUUCAUUUUGUUCAUGGUUUCCUUUGCUUUGCAGAAAGUUUUAGUCUGAUAUAGUCCUAAUUGUUUAUUUUUUUCUUUUCUUUCCCUUGCCUGAGUAGACAUGGUAUUUGAAAAAAAUACUGCUAAGACCAAUGUCAGAGUGUACUGCCUAUAUUUUCCUCUAGGAGUUUUAUGGUUUCAGGUCUUACAUUCAAGUCCUUAAUCCAUUUUGAGUUAAUUUUCAUGUACGGUGUAAGAUAAUGGUCUACUUUCAUUCUUUUGCACAUGACUGUCCAGUUUUCCCAACACCCUUUAUUGAAGAGUCUUUCCUUUCUCCAUUGUAUGGUCUUGGCUCCUUUGUCGAAGAUUACCUGUCCAUAGAUGUGUGGCUUUAUUUCUGGGCUUUCAAUUUUCAGCCUUGUCUUUACUGCAGAUAAAAGAUCUGUAGUAUAAGAGGAUGUCUCGAAAGAACCCACAAAGAAUAAAGCACCCCCAUAAGAGAAUCUGCUGUAAACUCUGCCAACCCCAGAGAGCGAGAGGUCCGGCAAAGACAGACUUGGAACUUUCCUUUCCCUUCCUGCCUUGUCCUCCCUUUCUCUCUUUUACCCUGAUUUCCCCAGCUUCCCCAGCUUCUCCACGCUCCUGUCCUACAUGUUGCCUAAUUUCUGCCUCCUCUUCCCCCUCAAGUGUGGGUGUUUCUUAACCUUGUGUCUUUGACCUUCUUCUCAUGUUUUUCUGUACUCUGGCUAUUGUUUUUCAUGUGCUCCCGAGGCUUCAACUCUUACUGUGGAUGGCUGCCAAUCUGCAUUCCCAGCCCUCUCCGUCCUCUGAGUCCUGGUUCUGAGUUCCUGCUGGGAAUCUUGAACUGAAGGUCCAUAGUCUUCUGAAGUUUCCCAUGUCUCAAAGUCAAGUCAUCCCUCCUUUGUCUCUCCUCCACCUUCCUCUCACUUCCCAGUUUUUCUUGCCUGCACCACUGUUCUCUCUCUAUCCAGGCUGCCUAUCACCGUCUGCUUCUCCUUCUUCCUGACUCUCUGCUUCAAAUCCGCCACCAGCUCCUUACAUUCUGCCUUUAUAAUAGCUUUUGAAUACAUCUCCUCCUCUGCGUCACAGCUGCUCCUCCCCUAGCACCGCCAUUCAGAGGCAAUAACUGUUAACAUUUUGAUGCGUAUUUUUCCAGCUUUUUUUCCCUGUCGAUAUAAGUAAAUAAGUAAAUAAAUAAAUAAAUAAAUAUUAUACAUGUACUUUUACAAACUAUUAUCAUAGUGUUCACAUUAUUGUAUAAACUCAUUUUUUUCGCUUAAUAAUGUAUUGUGAAACUCUUUCUAAAUAAUUUCAUAUUCGUCCACAAUAAUUUUCAAAUAUAGUGGCAGUUGAGGACUUGGGGUUUUGUCUUCUGUGUCUCAAACAGAGUCCUCAUGGCCUUUUUCUCCUCUUCAGUUAAUGGUGACCUAAACUCCCAUGGAAGAAAGAGGAAAAGAAAAUUAUGCUUAACGUAUGGCAUAUCCUGUCCCGGUGCACCGAACUUAUUAGGAACUGGGUAUGGCAUGAGGUGGACCCAGACGUCAGACUUAGGAUGAGUGUGUAACAGAUGUGUGUUGAAUAGGGGAAAGGUGACAUAGGAGGUGGGACUCGAAGCAGAGUCUGGUCAGGUUGACAAAAGCCAUCACCUGGCCUGGCCCUGGACAGGUCAGAGGGCCACUCCCCAAAGGGCUUGUGCAACAUCGAUGAAGACACCCCAGCAGACUUGUCUUCUUGCUUUCACAGUGGAGAGGCACUCGGUGAUCAGGGACAAGCAGUCCCAGCCUGGGGUUUUCCUGGGGACUUUGAAUGCUAAAAUGAGACAGUCUGGGUAAACCAGGACAGUUGACCACCCUACUCAGUGAGUCCCACCCGAGGUUCAAAUUCUCCUCGUAAAGGAUGUGGGUUGAUUCCAGAACCUUUGAAACCAUCAUCUCACCUCUACAGGAACCUUGAGUGUGGUGUCUGAGAGGAGAGUUAUAGCUCCCAGCCAGAAUCCUUUUAUAUGUGAGAGAAAUAAAUGUGAAUCAUUUUUAUAUCGCUGUUAUUCUGGAUUCUCUGUCACUAACAGUCAAACCAAAUUCCUACUGAUAAGACUGUAUAAAAGUAAUACUAAUUAAAUUCAUUUACAUAAGCCCACCAAUUUCACUCUUAAUUACUGUGAUGCGCAAUAAUGAAGUACACACCCCAACAUACCAUUGUAAGUUUUAUUUGAUUUCAGCACUAAACUUAGUUUAUAGAUAUGCUUGGCUUCUUUCAACAGUUUGUUGAUUACAUAGUAUAAUCAUCCACUGACAACUUAAAAAACAUGGGAGGAGACAUAUUUCUUCCAGUGUGUGAAUGGAGGCCCAGGGCACCACGCCCCACUGUUGAAUUGGAAUAAAUGGAUCAAUCCUUUUUGAACAGAGUCUGAGAGACAGCAUUAACACACACCUCAUGGCCAAAGUACAUUUUAUUCAGCCUUUGCCGCAUGCAGUUGUUUUUGGGGACAUGGUGUGACCCUUGGCAUAUCUGCAUCUGUGAAAUAAUAAGCCAUUCUUUAAAUCAAGAUUUUGCAGCAUUACGAAUGCUUGGAGAGGGUUUUCAAAAUUAUUAUUCUAGUGCUAGUCUGCUUCCCUUCUUUCUCUUAAAUAAUCUGCAUUAGGCAUUCAAAAGGUCCACUCAUCCCAGGACAUGACUAGAGCUAAUUUGCUGAGAGCCUCUGAGCACCGCCCAGCCCUGCUCAGGACAUCUGCUGGGAACUUAAAUCAUUUUAAGUGGAGGAAUUAGCCUCCUGUUUUCUGCUGGGAAAGAAACGUGACUCUGGGUAUUCCGCACCAGGCUUUUAAUGGUGGAAAUGAACUAUGCUGCAGAUAUACAAAAGAAAAAUAAAUCCAUCUUCUUUUACUAGGAGCUUGACACUUUUAUUUAGAAAAUUUACAUUUCUGAAUGCUUCCUUCGUACAUUACAGAUGCAUUUCAAAUGUGACUCUGUUAGGUUAAUAGUCUACGCCUUAAAAACAGAUCAGGAUGAAAGUGGGAUUUGAGGCCACUUUGAAGGAAGAAAGAAAGAAGAGAGAGGAUUUAGCUAAUGAUAAGAUGAAUCAAAGAGCAUAACAAAUUCUUUUCUUGCAAAAGCAGAGAAAUUCUGAUAAGCCUGAAAGACUCUGAAUAGAGAAACAUGCUCUUGUAAAUUACUUUUGCAUCAGCACUUACCUCCCCAAGACUUUAACAUGGAAAAUCUAAAUGGGAAUUCUAUAUAAUGGACCAUCAUCCACAAUAUAUCAGUUAUGGAUGUACAUACUGUGUGUGUUUUUAAUAUGCUUUUCUAUCUGUGGUUUCAGUGUUGAAUGCUGUUUUCUCCGCACAUAGAACAAACUGAAAGACAGCUUGGAAUUGACUUCUGCACAUUGCCACACCACUACGACAACGGCUCCAAUCUGAGUAAGAUUCAGGAGUGAAAUCGAUGCAAGGAGCUCCAUGGAAGUAGGAUUGAAUGCCUCUGGUCUUUUGGCAAGCUGUUUUCAUCAAGUCAUAGCAAGUAUCACGUCUCAAGCCAUCAUAUGACAAGACAUUCUUGAUGUCUGGGUGGCCCAGAUCCCUGUACAGGAUGCUCUGGACUUUCCAGGACCAUGAUCCCCUUGCUGUCAAAGCUGGGCCAAGGCUACCCUGCGCUUCGGCUCUCCAGGAGCGUUGGCAGCAUUUUCAACGCUGUUGGAAGAGACUCAGUCAAAGACAUGGCUUGUUGCUGAGCCCCCGGCACACCAGCUCUGCUUCUUAGACGGGACCUUCUUGCUGUCCUUCACAGUGGUCAUUCUUCCGAUUCUAUGUGUUUAGUCCCCUUGGUGCCCUGCAUCCAUCUGUAAGAAGAGAGACCCUGCCUGACUGGGUACUGAGGUGUCCUGAUUAUAGACAUUGAAUCCCCAUUGAUGAGAGUGUAUCUCAGUUCUAGAUUCUUUCGCAGGAGCAGCCAGAGACUGGUUUCGCCUCUCCUUAAGGAAGGAGGUACCACUGUACAAUCUAAGGCAGAGGGAAGAUGUGCUAGUUAUACAGAUCGUCUCCCCGCAUAUUUAUGAGGCAACCUUUUUCUAAAGCCAGCGAAAGUAGGUAAUCAUUACAUCUCCUGGGUGAGGUGGUAAACAACUCACGCUCCGACCGGCAGAGCAUAUCUGUGGGCUCACAGUUCAAGUCAACCGUGCAGGGAGGAGGGAACUAGAGGAAAUGCAGUUUCGUUUCCCAGUAACUCCCCCCACCUGAAUUAAGGUGGGAAAGGAGGAGAACAUCUGUAAAAAUAACAGCAUGCAAACUUCAGAAGGACGGGACCAUGCCCGCUUAACAGCAGUUUGAGUCCUACAUGCUUAAAAAAUCCGCAGGGAUGAAUCACCGUUCUAGAAUUCUGGAUAAUCUCUGCAUAUGGCAAAGAACGACACCAGCUGAAUAAAGCCAAGGGACAUCUGCCUGCCUGGACACCAAAGACAUUAGCAACUGGAUGGAAAGAAAGAAAUCCAAAUGUUCAUUCUCAGAGAAUCAUCGUUUCAUUGACUUGAUCACUGACAGACAUCUUCAGCGUGAUUACAAGAGAAUUUUGAACAUAUCAAAGACUCUCAGGUUACCGCUGAGAUUUUCUUCUAAGCCUUUGUAAAUAUAGUGAUUAAUAAAGAAAUUUCAAGGCCCCACAAUCAUGGGCUGUGAUCACACGAAUGUGAAUUAUUAACACCAAAUAACCAAAAUGAUUUCUAUCUGUCAUGUGGUCACAUAGAAAGUGGUGGGAGCACAGCUGAGCCACUAGGGAAGACCCAAGAUUUCAUUGUUUUCCUGUGAGUGUCUGAGUGUUAAUGUGAAUUCCGAGGAUGCUUUUAUGUGCAGCACUGUAGGCAGAGCUGCCACUUGCUGUCCUGUGAGUCCCAGAACUCCCCUGACUUGGCAGCCCACAGGGUGCCCCAUGUCCACUGAGCCCUGCCAGCCCUGCGGUGAGCAGGCCUAUCAAAUACAGACAUUGCCGGUUUCUGACUCUCAAGUGUCUUACAGAAAAUAGAGCCAGGAGCUCCAUCUGGCAUUCUGUUUGCUAAAUGUCCCAUUGAUGUCAAAUACCAGGAAAUGUGGCUGUUUAAAAUCCCAGGGAAGAAGAUUUCCACUCAGCAGCUUCCUAAUGGACACACACACUCGGUGAAGCAGAAGCCCUCAGCUGCAGUCUAGUCACAGGCUCUUGCACACCAGCUCUCGGGGCCUCCACUGUGAGGUCGGAAGACACAUGGCUGAGGGAAAUGGACUCUUCAGCUUCGGCGGCUUAUUCUAUGCUGGAAGCCGAUAGAGGGCAGUGUUGCAAAAGCCUGCAAAAGGCCACACUCCACAGCCUACCAGGACCACCACAGCGCUUACCUCCGGCCUUCUUCCACACUCCUGUACCAGUUUAAUGAUGAACAGGAGCAAUUAAAGCAGCUAUUCCACAAAACAUACGGCUUCUGGUCAAAGCUUGUUAUUGCUUCAUCACCUCUUUGAUAUUACAAAUGGCCUCAUAAUAAUUUUUAAUCAUUAUUCCUCACCAGUGCUUUUCUGCAGAAGGCCACAUCCAUUAGCCUCACUUUUCAGAAGACUGAGAUCCAGAAAGGUGACCUGGAUGGCUUGAGUUACGCAGUCCAGAACCAGAAAGGGCUAGAAAGAACACUCAGGGUUUCUGCACUAUAUGCUGGGGAGUUCUCAAAAUAUGCAUACUUUGCUAUCUUUGAGUGAAAACCAUUAACAGCCUUCAUUUGCUCCUGAUUAAUUAGGGAUGGUUGUCUGGUUUGGCAGUUAAUAGACAGGACCCCUGUCCCCACCGUCCCCUAAUUGCCCUUUAUCUCAGUUGAAGUUGAUAACUAAUGACCAAACCAGCUAAUUAGGCCCAUCUGCAGCCCAAGAAAGGCAUUAGGGAGGGAUGGGAAACCGACACAUGAAAU